GGUUCGCCGCUGGUGACGUCGCGAGAAGUCCACUGAACCUUAUCAUUUAGAGGAAGGAGAAGUCGUAACAAGGUUUCCGUAGGUGAACCUGCGGAAGGAUCAUUGU
RNAcentral lists this ribosomal RNA (106 nucleotides) under Oreobolus goeppingeri. RNAcentral's name for it is "partial 18S ribosomal RNA". It matches the Rfam family "Eukaryotic small subunit ribosomal RNA", at positions 1727 to 1831 of the family's 1831-position model. Lineage: Eukaryota; Viridiplantae; Streptophyta; Magnoliopsida; Poales; Cyperaceae. The record is from RNAcentral.